AGAGUUGUAUCCUGGCUCAGAUUGAACGCUGGCGGCAUGCCUUACACAUGCAAGUCGAACGGCAGCACGGGAGCAAUCCUGGUGGCGAGUGGCGAACGGGUGAGUAAAGUAUCGGAACGUGCCCAGUCGUGGGGGAUAACGUAGCGAAAGUUACGCUAAUACCGCAUACGAUCUAUGGAUGAAAGCGGGGGAUCGCAAGACCUCGCGCGAUUGGAGCGGCCGAUAUCAGAUUAGGUAGUUGGUGGGGUAAAGGCUCACCAAGCCGACGAUCUGUAGCUGGUCUGAGAGGACGACCAGCCACACUGGGACUGAGACACGGCCCAGACUCCUACGGGAGGCAGCAGUGGGGAAUUUUGGACAAUGGGCGCAAGCCUGAUCCAGCCAUGCCGCGUGCAGGAUGAAGGCCUUCGGGUUGUAAACUGCCUUUGUACGGAACGAAAAGGUCUGACCUAAUAAGUUGGGCCCAUGACGGUACCGUAAGAAUAAGCACCGGCUAACUACGUGCCAGCAGCCGCGGUAAUACGUAGGGUGCGAGCGUUAAUCGGAAUUACUGGGCGUAAAGCGUGCGCAGGCGGUUAUGUAAGACAGAUGUGAAAUCCCCGGGCUCAACCUGGGAACUGCAUUAGUGACUGCAUAGCUGGAGUACGGCAGAGGGGGAUGGAAUUCCGCGUGUAGCAGUGAAAUGCGUAGAU
Molecule: ribosomal RNA, 692 nt
Filed under: uncultured beta proteobacterium
Lineage: Bacteria; Pseudomonadati; Pseudomonadota; Betaproteobacteria
Description: bacterial SSU rRNA
Rfam family: Bacterial small subunit ribosomal RNA
Source: RNAcentral